RNAcentral lists this ribosomal RNA (556 nucleotides) under uncultured archaeon. RNAcentral's name for it is "bacterial SSU rRNA". It matches the Rfam family "Archaeal small subunit ribosomal RNA", at positions 106 to 659 of the family's 1478-position model. The record is from RNAcentral.
AACCUACCCUUGGGACGGGAACAACCUCGGGAAACUGAGGCUAAUUCCCGAUAGGCGAGGGACGCUGGGAUGCUUCCUCGCCCAAAGCUCCGGCGCCCAGGGAUGGGACUGCGGUCUAUCAGGCUGUUGGUGGUGUAACGGACCACCAAACCUACGACGGGUACAGGCGAUGGGAGUCGGAGCCUGGAGAUGGGGACUGAGACAAGGCCCCAGGCCCUACGGGGCGCAGCAGGCGCGAAAACUCCGCAAUGCGCGUAAGCGUGACGGGGGGACCCCAAGUGCCGUUGGUCUUUUGAUCGACGGCUUUUAGGAAGUCUAUGAAGCUUCCAGAAUAAGGGCUGGGUAAGACUGGUGCCAGCCGCCGCGGUAACACCAGCAGCCCAAGUGGUGGCCACGAUUAUUGGGCCUAAAGCGCUCGUAGCCGGGUCAGCAAGUCCCUUGUGAAAUCGGGCCGCCUAACGGUUCGGCGUGCAAGGGAUACUGUUGGUCUUGAGGCCGGGAGAGGUCGGAGGUACUCCUGGGGUAGCGGUGAAAUGCUCUAAUCCUGGGGGGACCA